UGGGGAAUUUUGGACAAUGGGCGAAAGCCUGAUCCAGCAAUGCCGCGUGCAGGAUGAAGGCCCUCGGGUUGUAAACUGCUUUUGUACGGAACGAAAAGCCUGGGGCUAAUAUCCCCGGGUCAUGACGGUACCGUAAGAAUAAGCACCGGCUAACUACGUGCCAGCAGCCGCGGUAAUACGUAGGGUGCAAGCGUUAAUCGGAAUUACUGGGCGUAAAGCGUGCGCAGGCGGUUUUGUAAGACAGUGGUGAAAUCCCCGGGCUCAACCUGGGAACUGCCAUUGUGACUGCAAGGCUAGAGUGCGGCAGAGGGGGAUGGAAUUCCGCGUGUAGCAGUGAAAUGCGUAGAUAUGCGGAGGAACACCGAUGGAGAAGGCAAUCCCCUGGGCCUGCACUGACGCUCAUGCACGAAAGCGUGGGGAGCAAACAG
RNAcentral lists this ribosomal RNA (428 nucleotides) under Acidobacteriota bacterium. RNAcentral's name for it is "Acidobacteria bacterium partial 16S ribosomal RNA". It matches the Rfam family "Bacterial small subunit ribosomal RNA", at positions 355 to 775 of the family's 1533-position model. Lineage: Bacteria; Pseudomonadati; Acidobacteriota. The record is from RNAcentral.